GCGGGUGUAGCUCAGUUGGUAGAGCGCUUGACUUCCACUCAAGCUGUCGCAGGUUCAAUUCCUGUCACCCGCUCCA
RNAcentral lists this transfer RNA (76 nucleotides) under compost metagenome. RNAcentral's name for it is "tRNA-Gly". It matches the Rfam family "tRNA". Rfam says of the family: Transfer RNA (tRNA) molecules are approximately 80 nucleotides in length. Their secondary structure includes four short double-helical elements and three loops (D, anti-codon, and T loops). The record is from RNAcentral.